This 889-nucleotide long non-coding RNA is filed under the name Trifolium pratense (red clover). RNAcentral describes it as "long non-coding RNA (TPRA_LNC003865)". The record is from RNAcentral. Lineage: Eukaryota; Viridiplantae; Streptophyta; Magnoliopsida; Fabales; Fabaceae.
UUUAUUAAACCUAUCUUCUCCCCUAUAUAUAUCCCGUCAAAUACUCAAACCNNNNNNNNNNNNNNNNNNNNNNNNNNNNNNNNNNNNCCGCAAAAAAAAAAAAGAUUAUCUCUCUCUCUCUCUCUCUCUCUCUCUCUCCACAAAUUCACUUUCUAGAUUUUUCUUCAAAACUCAAACUCCAAUCUUUCAUCUCUUUUCUCAACCACACAAACUAUGAAGAAGUCCGGCCUCUUCGCCGCUACAAUCGCCGCCGCAUCAGCCACCGCUGUCACCGUUUCAUCUUCCGCAAACAACUCUCACCAUCAUCAGGUACUUACUUUACUACUUUUUCUUUUGUUCUUUAUCUUUAAACCCUGGAUCUGAUAUUUCUUGAAUGGUUUUUGAUUUUGUUGUUUGUAAUUUGUGUUUUUCAGGAAAGUACUUCUGAGAAAAGAAAUCGCAAUGAGAAUUCUUCGUCGGAGAAAUUUGCGCCGAGAUUUGAUGGUUUGCGGUUCAUUGAAACGCUUAUAACUGCUCAUAGAUGAAAGGGGUUUUCGAAUUUUCGCUGAAUUUCAAUGAAUCUGUUUCUUCAUCUUGUUGGCCUCUGUUUGGUUUAGAGAAGAAGAUUUCACUUGUUGGAAAUAUUUCUUUUUAGUUUUUUUUUAGAAUGAAUUAAUAGGAGAAAUAUUGAAAAAAAGAUAAUUUGUAAUGUUACGAAAUUAUUUGGUGCUUUUCUUUUUUGUGACCUAUUUAUGGGUAAUGAAAAAUUAAAGUAUAAAGUUUUGAAUGAUUAUGUACCAAAAAAAAGUUUUGAAUGAUUUGUGCUAAAAUAUUUUUAUUCAUUUAUCAUUUAUUUAAUUGUUUCCCUUAUAUUUUCUUUCUAAAGAAAAUUAGAUUAGACUAUUUGUGU